RNAcentral lists this unclassified non-coding RNA (1114 nucleotides) under Hevea brasiliensis (rubber tree). The record is from RNAcentral. Lineage: Eukaryota; Viridiplantae; Streptophyta; Magnoliopsida; Malpighiales; Euphorbiaceae.
AUAAUUUCUGGGAUGUCAGAGAAGCGUUACGAAGCCCUAAGUAGCAUUAAAAUGCCAAGAAAAGGUUGGGAGAAUUUUAUCAAUCGGUACAGACGAUUUUGCCUCCUUAAGCCAAAUGAAGGGCAUUUUAGUCAUUUCGCCUUCAGAGACGAUUUUUGGCCGACUUGUCCAGUUAAGUAAAUAAUUAUUAUGACAUAAAAUGUGAAUAAAUAUUGCUAAAAAUUAAAUUGAAAAUGAGUAGAGAAGAAAAGAAAAGAAAAUGAGAAAAAUGUCAAUUAUGACAUCACUAUGAGGUCGUUAAAAGUGCUCCCAUCAAUUACAUUUGAACAAGCUAUUAAAAAUCAAUUAAAAAGAGGUAAAAUGAGGUAAAAAAUUAACUAAACACAAUCUGCUUUCUUCCUCAAUAAAGCCAGCUGAAACCCUUCCCCAACCCAACCUCCAUGGAAGCUUAAAGCAAGUUUCAAAUCCCACCUCAUCUCACCUUGAAACCACAACCUUGCUUCACUAAAAAUUGAUUUUGCAACUUGGACAACCUCUAGCCAGCAAAAAGAAGAAGGAAGAAGGAAGUUUUGAAGACUUGGAAAAGUUAGCAAAAGAGGUUAGUGUCCAAUCUCUUAGCACCUUUACUUAAUUCAUGCUUAAUACCAUGAGAUAAGUAGAAAAUGUAAGAAAAACAAAAUAAAAAUUAUGUGUAUUCAUGCCCUAUAAUUUCAGCAGCUUAGGGUUGGUUAGGGUUGAUGAAUUUACUUGAAGCAAAGUAGUUCAUGGGCUGCCCUUAGUAUUAGAUAAGUGAUUGAACAUGUUUGUGUAAGUGAAAUGCAAAUAUAGUGCAUGAAUGAACUUGAAAACUUGGACAUUUGAACAACAUUAGGGUUUGCUCAUGUAAUGGUAUGUUAACUUUGUAAUGAUCAAUUAGUGACCAUUUGAAUGUGUGUGAGGAGGAAUUGAAGUGAGUAAGGAUGUUGGACUUGAAAUUAGCUAUGCUGUCCUUGGUGACCUGCAGGACUGGGUGUGAGUCCAGCAGGUUUGGGCAGUCAUAAAUGGAGUUUUAUAGGUUCAAUUGGUACAAGGCCAAUUGGACAUGAAACUAAACACAUAAUGGCACAACUUUGGU